RNAcentral lists this ribosomal RNA (402 nucleotides) under bacterium. Its description in RNAcentral is "partial 16S ribosomal RNA". It matches the Rfam family "Bacterial small subunit ribosomal RNA", at positions 355 to 776 of the family's 1533-position model. The record is from RNAcentral.
UGGGGAAUUUUGCACAAUGGGGGAAACCCUGAUGCAGCGACGCCGCGUGAUUUAGGAGGCCUUCGGGUUGUAAAAAUCUUUUCUAUGGGAAGAAAAUGACAGUACCAUAGGAAUAAGGACCGGCUAAUUACGUGCCAGCAGCCGCGGUAAUACGUAAGGUCCGAGCGUUGUCCGGAAUCAUUGGGCGUAAAGGGUACGUAGGCGGGUAAGCAAGUUAGAAGUGAAAUCCUAUAGCUCAACUAUAGUAAGCUUUUAAAACUGCUCAUCUUGAGGUAUGGAAGGGAAAGUGGAAUUCCUAGUGUAGCGGUGAAAUGCGCAGAUAUUAGGAGGAAUACCGGUGGCGAAGGCGACUUUCUGGCCAUAACCUGACGCUGAGGUACGAAAGCGUGGGUAGCAAACAGG